GGAAGAGGAUUAUCCUUAGAUUUCCCUUUAGAAACAGAUUUUCUCUUCCGGGAAAAUUCUCCGGGGAGUUUCGGAGGUGAAUCGCCGGCGGGGAUCAUCGGUCUGGAGGCGGAAGCGAACUCCGGAGAAGCAAGGGCCUUGAGAGCCGGCGUGCUGGAGACACGUGUCAGUUUCCCGGAGUUCACGAUCUUGCCGUUGUUAACGGGGAUGCCGGAGUUAGUUCUUCCGUUAAAA
This 234-nucleotide long non-coding RNA is filed under the name Brassica napus (rape). Its description in RNAcentral is "long non-coding RNA (BNAP_LNC008253)". The record is from RNAcentral. Lineage: Eukaryota; Viridiplantae; Streptophyta; Magnoliopsida; Brassicales; Brassicaceae.